AAGUAGGGAUGAAGACGAUGAAUCUUUGUUUUGUGCGAGGGUAGAAGAUGACGAUGAAAAGGGGAAAAGGUGAAAGAAAGUGUGUAGUCUCCUGAUACCAUAUUAUUAUAAUUGAUAACUGAUAACAAAAAAAUGGUCAUUUGUCCUAGAACUGUAUUGAAUUAUGAAUCACACAUUGUUACAAAAAGGAAAGUCCUAUACUAUAUAAAAAAAAUAUUGGACCAUAACAAGUAAAAACCAUUAAGCUCGAUAUUAGACAACAUAGC
Molecule: long non-coding RNA, 266 nt
Filed under: Lathyrus oleraceus (garden pea)
Lineage: Eukaryota; Viridiplantae; Streptophyta; Magnoliopsida; Fabales; Fabaceae
Description: Pisum sativum (pea) long non-coding RNA (PSAT_LNC007035)
Source: RNAcentral